Molecule: ribosomal RNA, 384 nt
Filed under: uncultured prokaryote
Description: bacterial SSU rRNA
Rfam family: Archaeal small subunit ribosomal RNA
Source: RNAcentral
UCGCGAAACCUUUGCAAUACACGAAAGUGUGACAGGGCUAUCCCGAGUGCCAUCCGCUGAGGAAGGCUUUUACCCAGUCUAGAACGCUGGGGGAAUAAGGAGAGGGCAAGUCUGGUGUCAGCCGCCGCGGUAAUACCAGCUCUCCGAGUGGUGUGGAUGUUUAUUGGGCCUAAAGCAUCCGUAGCUGGCUAGGUAAGUCCCUUGUUAAAUCCACCGAAUUAAUCGUUGGAUCGCGGGGGAUACUGCUUGGCUAGGGGACGAGAGAGGCAGACGGUAUUUUCGGGGUAGGGGUGAAAUCCUAUAAUCCCGGGAAGACCACCAGUGGCGAAGGCUGUCUGCUAGAACGCGCCCGACGGUGAGGGAUGAAAGCUGGGGGAGCGAACC